GCCCCGUUCGUGCUGAUGACGGCCAUGGCGGUGCCCAAGGUGAGGCCGAGUCGGUGGGCGUUGCAGGUGAAGGGUAAGAAAGACUGGAGGCUCUUCUUCAACACUCUGUUCUGGAACCUCAACUACUGGGACUGCGCCAGCACGAUGGCCGGCGAGGUGGAGCGGCCCGAGCAGACGUUCCCGCGGGCACUGGCAGUCGCCGUUGUUCUGAUCGCCCGCAGUUACCUGCUGCCGCUUAUGGCCGCGACCGGCGCCACCGACGCGUCGCCGGAUGCCUGGGUCAACGGCUACUUGGCUGACGCGGCAGGCAUCAUCGGGGGCACAUGGCUCAAAUACUGGACGGGAGCCGGCGCAGUGAUCUCCUCCAUCGGCAUGUUCGAAGCUCAGAUGAGCAGCGGUGCGUUCCAGCUCCUCGGCAUGGCGGACAUGGGCCUCCUCCCGGCUUUCUUCUCCCGCACCGGCACCCCGUGGGUGGCUAUCACCUUGUCGACCGUCGUCACGAUCGUUGUCUCCUUCCUCUGCUUCGAAGACGUUGUCGCCACGGCCAACUUCUUGUACAGCCUCGGCACAUUGCUCGAGUUCGCAUCCUUCCUCUGGCUCCGCGCCAAGCACCCAGCGAUGAAGCGCCCUUACCGUGUGCCGCUACCGUUGCCCGCGCUUGUGGCAAUGUGUGCCAUGCCAUCCGCGUUCCUGGCCUACGUGUGUGUGGUGGCUGGGUGGAAGGUAUUCGCCCUCGCCGCGGGGCUGACUAUGCUCGGCGUCGGAUGGCAUGGCGUCAUGAGGGUGUGCAAGGCCAAGAAGUUGCUCAGGUUCAACAAUACAGUUUCUGCUGACCUUCAACAGGAUACUACUGGAGACGACUAUCAUCUGGUUCCGGGGGUGAGAAACUAUCGUAGCUUAAAAGUGGCCAUGCCUCAUGUUUUUCGACAACUGAGUUGA
Molecule: ribosomal RNA, 939 nt
Filed under: Triticum aestivum (bread wheat)
Lineage: Eukaryota; Viridiplantae; Streptophyta; Magnoliopsida; Poales; Poaceae
Description: partial small subunit ribosomal RNA
Source: RNAcentral